UUGACCUCGAGAUCAGGUAGGGAUACCCGCUGAACUUA
RNAcentral lists this ribosomal RNA (38 nucleotides) under Penicillium roseopurpureum. RNAcentral describes it as "partial 28S ribosomal RNA". The record is from RNAcentral. Lineage: Eukaryota; Fungi; Ascomycota; Eurotiomycetes; Eurotiales; Aspergillaceae.